RNAcentral lists this ribosomal RNA (119 nucleotides) under Cebus imitator (Panamanian white-faced capuchin). Lineage: Eukaryota; Metazoa; Chordata; Mammalia; Primates; Cebidae. The record is from RNAcentral.
GUCUACCACCAUACCACCCUGAACACGCCUGAUCUCGUCUGAUCUCGGAAGCUAAGCAGGGUCGGGCCUGGUUCAUACUUGGAUGGGAGACCGCCUGGGGAUACCGGGUGCUGUAGGCU